Molecule: ribosomal RNA, 278 nt
Filed under: uncultured bacterium
Lineage: Bacteria
Description: partial 16S ribosomal RNA
Rfam family: Bacterial small subunit ribosomal RNA
Source: RNAcentral
GUGCCUACGGGAGGCAGCAGUGGGGAAUAUUGCACAAUGGGGGAAACCCUGAUGCAGCGACGCCGCGUGAGUGAAGAAGUAUUUCGGUAUGUAAAGCUCUAUCAGCAGGGAAGAAAAAAGACGGUACCUGACUAAGAAGCCCCGGCUAACUACGUGCCAGCAGCCGCGGUAAUACGUAGGGGGCAAGCGUUAUCCGGAUUUACUGGGUGUAAAGGGAGCGCAGGCGGCGCGUUAAGCCUGGUGUGAAAGCCCGCGGCCCAACCGCGGGACAGCAUUGG